Long non-coding RNA from Hipposideros armiger (great roundleaf bat), 1141 nucleotides. RefSeq lists it as uncharacterized. The record is from RefSeq and is a predicted model, not a curated record. NCBI's taxonomy places the organism in Eukaryota, Metazoa, Chordata, Mammalia, Chiroptera, Hipposideridae. The transcript is spliced from 4 exons.
UUGUGUUGUUAGCUGCAUACACAGUUUUAGUUUCUGAUAAAACCCCAGCAGGUUAGGCUCUGGUUAAACAGCUUCUCCUGAAGGGAGGCCUUGUUAAGAAGAGACUGCUGUGGCCUUUUUCAAAAAUAGUUUCCUUUUUCCUCCCUCUUCCAGAAGCAGGAGGAGGUUUUUCUCUUUUUACUGUGAAAACUUGUUUCAGCUCCAGGAAGCAAAAUUCACAAAGUUUGGGGGCUCCUGAUAACUGCGUGGCCCCUGGAGUUUUUAUCUCUCAGAUUUAUCUACACCAAGCCUCCAGCAAUUGGUCAACAGAGUUCAGGCUUCUCUAUUAUGUCACUGCUUCCUGAGGAACUUGACUUCUUGGGUUCAUUUUAAAAAUAUAGAGAGCGAUCACCUAAAGAUCAGCAAAACCUGGAUGACUGGAUUCAGGUUGAAACUGACACUGUUGAUAACUGCCCUCCAAAACUGAACCAAUUUUUGCUGUAGCCUGAGGAUCUAAUUGACUCAUUGUGAUGAUUUUGGGCAAGUACUCAUACAGGAAGUUUUUUUCAGAAAAUGUAUCACCUUAUUGACUGUACUCAGGGCAGAACACUCCUUCCAACUUCAGUGCUUCCUCAAUUGGGGUCCAAUUUGUAAUGUCACCUCCAUGAAGAUUCAUGAUCUGGCAUUCUUCACGGUGGCAGAGGGGAUUUCUCUCUACUCUCUACAAGCUCCACUCUCCAUGCAUUUAUAAGUCUCUAGGCAUUUUUGCCUGAAAUAUAUCAUGGCAGCUCUAUCUUUACGAGGUGGCUAACGUUCAUAUGAAAAAAGAAACUUUUCCUACGAAGAAGACUUGAACCAAGUGUAUUCCUUUUUUACAAUGGAUGUUGAUUUUCUGGUAAAAAAGAAUAUUUCAUUUCAAAUGCUUUAAUAGGGUGGUCCAGAACACAGUCACCCCUAAUGAUUAUAUUUUGGGUGCUCCAAAUCUAAUACGCCUGUUUACCCUACCACAAGUUUAUUAUUAACUGGAUAUUUUUGUAUUAUUAGUUUUUUAACUUGCCAUGCAUAUUUUAAAAGCUGGGAGUCAUCUGCACUUACCCCUAACUAAGGUAGGGGAAAUUCCUGUAGGAUGGACCACCCAGAUGUUGCCCAGAGACCAUCUUUC